UAUAAUAUAGUGUAAAUUGCACAUAGACCUUUGAAGUCUAAAGAAGACCCCCUCUUAUUAUAA
This 63-nucleotide transfer RNA is filed under the name Perinereis linea. RNAcentral describes it as "tRNA-Gln". The record is from RNAcentral. Lineage: Eukaryota; Metazoa; Annelida; Polychaeta; Phyllodocida; Nereididae.